Molecule: ribosomal RNA, 1696 nt
Filed under: Escherichia coli
Lineage: Bacteria; Pseudomonadati; Pseudomonadota; Gammaproteobacteria; Enterobacterales; Enterobacteriaceae
Description: partial 23S ribosomal RNA
Rfam family: Bacterial large subunit ribosomal RNA
Source: RNAcentral
UCUGUAAGCCUGCGAAGGUGUGCUGUGAGGCAUGCUGGAGGUAUCAGAAGUGCGAAUGCUGACAUAAGUAACGAUAAAGCGGGUGAAAAGCCCGCUCGCCGGAAGACCAAGGGUUCCUGUCCAACGUUAAUCGGGGCAGGGUGAGUCGACCCCUAAGGCGAGGCCGAAAGGCGUAGUCGAUGGGAAACAGGUUAAUAUUCCUGUACUUGGUGUUACUGCGAAGGGGGGACGGAGAAGGCUAUGUUGGCCGGGCGACGGUUGUCCCGGUUUAAGCGUGUAGGCUGGUUUUCCAGGCAAAUCCGGAAAAUCAAGGCUGAGGCGUGAUGACGAGGCACUACGGUGCUGAAGCAACAAAUGCCCUGCUUCCAGGAAAAGCCUCUAAGCAUCAGGUAACAUCAAAUCGUACCCCAAACCGACACAGGUGGUCAGGUAGAGAAUACCAAGGCGCUUGAGAGAACUCGGGUGAAGGAACUAGGCAAAAUGGUGCCGUAACUUCGGGAGAAGGCACGCUGAUAUGUAGGUGAAGUCCCUUGCGGAUGGAGCUGAAAUCAGUCGAAGAUACCAGCUGGCUGCAACUGUUUAUUAAAAACACAGCACUGUGCAAACACGAAAGUGGACGUAUACGGUGUGACGCCUGCCCGGUGCCGGAAGGUUAAUUGAUGGGGUCAGCGCAAGCGAAGCUCUUGAUCGAAGCCCCGGUAAACGGCGGCCGUAACUAUAACGGUCCUAAGGUAGCGAAAUUCCUUGUCGGGUAAGUUCCGACCUGCACGAAUGGCGUAAUGAUGGCCAGGCUGUCUCCACCCGAGACUCAGUGAAAUUGAACUCGCUGUGAAGAUGCAGUGUACCCGCGGCAAGACGGAAAGACCCCGUGAACCUUUACUAUAGCUUGACACUGAACAUUGAGCCUUGAUGUGUAGGAUAGGUGGGAGGCUUGGAAGUGUGGACGCCAGUCUGCAUGGAGCCGACCUUGAAAUACCACCCUUUAAUGUUUGAUGUUCUAACGUUGACCCGUAAUCCGGGUUGCGGACAGUGUCUGGUGGGUAGUUUGACUGGGGCGGUCUCCUCCUAAAGAGUAACGGAGGAGCACGAAGGUUGGCUAAUCCUGGUCGGACAUCAGGAGGUUAGUGCAAUGGCAUAAGCCAGCUUGACUGCGAGCGUGACGGCGCGAGCAGGUGCGAAAGCAGGUCAUAGUGAUCCGGUGGUUCUGAAUGGAAGGGCCAUCGCUCAACGGAUAAAAGGUACUCCGGGGAUAACAGGCUGAUACCGCCCAAGAGUUCAUAUCGACGGCGGUGUUUGGCACCUCGAUGUCGGCUCAUCACAUCCUGGGGCUGAAGUAGGUCCCAAGGGUAUGGCUGUUCGCCAUUUAAAGUGGUACGCGAGCUGGGUUUAGAACGUCGUGAGACAGUUCGGUCCCUAUCUGCCGUGGGCGCUGGAGAACUGAGGGGGGCUGCUCCUAGUACGAGAGGACCGGAGUGGACGCAUCACUGGUGUUCGGGUUGUCAUGCCAAUGGCACUGCCCGGUAGCUAAAUGCGGAAGAGAUAAGUGCUGAAAGCAUCUAAGCACGAAACUUGCCCCGAGAUGAGUUCUCCCUGACUCCUUGAGAGUCCUGAAGGAACGUUGAAGACGACGACGUUGAUAGGCCGGGUGUGUAAGCGCAGCGAUGCGUUGAGCUAACCGGUACUAAUGAACCGUGAG